UACGAAGGAGGCUAGCGUUGUUCGGAUUUACUGGGCGUAAAGCGCACGUAGGCGGAUUCUUAAGUCAGGGGUGAAAUCCCGAGGCUCAACCUCGGAACUGCCUUUGAUACUGGGGAUCUCGAGUUCGGGAGAGGUGAGUGGAAUUGCGAGUGUAGAGGUGAAAUUCGUAGAUAUUCGCAAGAACACCAGUGGCGAAGGCGGCUCACUGGCCCGAUACUGACGCUGAGGUGCGAAAGCGUGGGGAGCAACAGGG
Molecule: ribosomal RNA, 253 nt
Filed under: uncultured bacterium
Lineage: Bacteria
Description: partial 16S ribosomal RNA
Rfam family: Bacterial small subunit ribosomal RNA
Source: RNAcentral